GCCAAGUGUCCAUUCUGUCGUGCUCGGGUUUGGAGUAUGACGGCGGCUCGGCUCAUACCCAAAAGUGCGGCGCGGCGGCUUGGUUCGAUGGAGAGUGGAUUGGAGUACUUUGUAUGUGUUAAUGGGCACUUAUAUGGUGCUUGUUGGCUGGUUCCUUUAUCGUCUGAUGAUGAAGGUGAGAGUGAGGAAGCUGACCGGAGAUUUGACGACGGCGGCGGCGGCUAUUUUCAUCGCGAGAAUCAGAUAGUAAUAAAUGGGUCUCUG
Molecule: unclassified non-coding RNA, 264 nt
Filed under: Hevea brasiliensis (rubber tree)
Lineage: Eukaryota; Viridiplantae; Streptophyta; Magnoliopsida; Malpighiales; Euphorbiaceae
Source: RNAcentral